UUAUAAGGGCAUUUCGUGGAUGCCUUGGCACUGAGAGGCGAUGAAAGACGUGACACGCUGCGAUAAGCCGUGGGGAGCUGCGAGUGAGCUUUGAUCCGCGGAUUUCUGAAUGGGGAAACCCACCGCAUUAGCGGUAUCCUGCACUGAAUUCAUAGGUGCAGGAGGCAAACCCGGGGAACUGAAACAUCUAAGUACCCGGAGGAAAGGACAUCAAUUGAGACUCCGCUAGUAGUGGCGAGCGAACGCGGACCAGGCCAGUGACCUGGAAGUUAGAAUCGGAAGCGUCUGGAAAGUCGCGCCAAAGCGGGUGAUAGCCCCGUACGAGUAGAAUACUUCCAGUGUCCUCGAGUAAGGCGGGACACGUGAAAUCCUGUCUGAACAUGGGGGGACCAUCCUCCAAGCCUAAGUACUCCUCAGUGACCGAUAGUGCACAAGUACCGUGAGGGAAAGGUGAAAAGCACCCCGACAAGGGGAGUGAAACAGACCUGAAACGGAAUGCCUACAAACAGUAGGAGCGGCCUUGAGCCGUGACUGCGUACCUUUUGUAUAAUGGGUCAGCGACUUAGUUUGUGCAGCAAGCUUAAGCCGAUAGGCGUAGGCGCAGCGAAAGCGAGUCUGAAUAGGGCGUUUUAGUUGCACGAAUUAGACCCGAAACCCGGUGAUCUAGCCAUGGACAGGUUGAAGGUGGGGUAACACCCACUGGAGGACCGAACCCACGCCUGUUGAAAAAGUCGGGGAUGAUCUGUGGUUAGGGGUGAAAGGCCAAUCAAACCGGGAAAUAGCUGGUUCUCCGCGAAAGCUAUUUAGGUAGCGGGUCGAAUGAUUGCCUCGGGGGGUAGAGCACUGGAUGGGCUAGGGGGGCGCGAGCCUUACCAAACCUAACCAAACUCCGAAUACCCGAGAGUACAGUUCGGCACACAGACGGCGGGUGAUAAGGUCCGUCGUCGAGAGGGAAACAGCCCAGACCGCCAGCUAAGGUCCCCAAGUUAUGGCUAAGUGGGAAAGGAUGUGGGGUAGCAUAGACAACCAGGAGGUUGGCUUAGAAGCAGCCAUCCUUUAAAGAAAGCGUAAUAGCUCACUGGUCAAGCCGCCCUGCGCCGAAAAUGUACCGGGGCUCAAGCCAUACACCGAAGCUGCGGAUGUGAUCUUUUAGAUCACGUGGUAGCGGAGCGUUCCGUAAGCCUGCGAAGGCGUCGCCGUGAGGGGCGCUGGAGGUAUCGGAAGUGCGAAUGCUGACAUGAGUAGCGACAAACAGUGUGAGAAACACUGUCGCCGAAAGUCCAAGGGUUCCUGCGCAAGGUUAAUCCACGCAGGGUAAGCCGGCCCCUAAGGCGAGGCCGAAAGGCGUAGUCGAUGGGAACCACGUUAAUAUUCGUGGGCCAGUGGAUAGUGACGGAGCCAAAACGUUGUCAGUCCUUAUCGGAUUGGAUUGGCAGCUGGAGGCUUCCAGGAAAUAGCUUCCACAUUAGACCGUACCCGAAACCGACACAGGUGGACUGGUAGAGGAUACCAAGGCGCUUGAGAGAAUGAUGUCGAAGGAACUCGGCAAAUUACCCUCGUAACUUCGGGAUAAGAGGGCCUCGUUUGUGGGCAACCACGGGCGAGGGGCACAGAAAUGGGGGUGGCGACUGUUUAUCAAAAACACAGGGCUCUGCUAAGUCGCACAAGACGACGUAUAGGGUCUGACGCCUGCCCGGUGCUGGAAGGUUAAAAGGAGAGGUGCAAGCCUUGAAUUGAAGCCCCAGUAAACGGCGGCCGUAACUAUAACGGUCCUAAGGUAGCGAAAUUCCUUGUCGGGUAAGUUCCGACCUGCACGAAUGGCGUAACGACUUCCCCACUGUCUCCGACAUCAACUCAGCGAAAUUGAAUUCCCCGUGAAGAUGCGGGGUACCCGCGGUCAGACGGAAAGACCCCGUGCACCUUUACUAUAGCUUUGCAGUGGCAUUAGGGAUCGAAUGUGUAGGAUAGGUGGGAGGCUUUGAAGCAUUGGCGCCAGCCAGUGUGGAGCCAACCUUGAAAUACCACCCUUGCGAUCUCUGAUGUCUAACCUCGGUCCAUUAUCUGGAUCAGGGACCCUGCAUGGUGGGUAGUUUGACUGGGGCGGUCGCCUCCCAAAGAGUAACGGAGGCGCGCGAUGGUAGGCUCAGGCUGGUCGGAAAUCAGCUGUCGAGUGCAAUGGCAUAAGCCUGCCUGACUGCAAGAGCGACGGUUCGAGCAGAGACGAAAGUCGGUCAUAGUGAUCUGGUGGUCCCGCAUGGAAGGGCCAUCACUCAACGGAUAAAAGGUACGCCGGGGAUAACAGGCUGAUCUCCCCCAAGAGUCCACAUCGACGGGGAGGUUUGGCACCUCGAUGUCGGCUCAUCACAUCCUGGGGCUGGAGCAGGUCCCAAGGGUAUGGCUGUUCGCCAUUUAAAGUGGUACGUGAGCUGGGUUCAGAACGUCGUGAGACAGUUCGGUCCCUAUCUGCCGUGGGUGUUGGAGUAUUGAGAGGACUUGUCCCUAGUACGAGAGGACCGGGAUGAACGCACCUCUGGUGUAUCGGUUGUCACGCCAGUGGCAUCGCCGAGUAGCUAUGUGCGGACGAGAUAACCGCUGAAAGCAUCUAAGCGGGAAGCUCCCCUCAAAACGAGUACUCCCUAUCAGAGCCGUGAUAGACCAUCACGUUGAUAGGCUGGAUGUGGAAGUGCGGCGACGCACGAAGCUAACCAGUACUAAUCGCUCGAUCGGCUUGAAUU
RNAcentral lists this ribosomal RNA (2735 nucleotides) under Roseiterribacter gracilis. RNAcentral describes it as "23S ribosomal RNA". It matches the Rfam family "Bacterial large subunit ribosomal RNA". The record is from RNAcentral. Lineage: Bacteria; Pseudomonadati; Pseudomonadota; Alphaproteobacteria; Rhodospirillales; Roseiterribacteraceae.